GGGGAAGGGACUCCUCAUUAUUGCUCUGGCUGGGAAUAAUGAGGCCUCGUGGUAAUAGCCCCUUGCACUCCCAGGCCCCUCUGACAAAAGGACGCAGCGGCUGCGGACGGGCUCGACAAAGUGAGAAGUGAAUGGUGCAUAAUGGGACACUUAGGGGCUUAGCCCGGGCUGGGGGGCACUGGGAAGGACCCUCCGGCUGUGGCUCCAGGUGCUGAAGGACCCCACCGGCCAGAAACCCACACCAAUAGUCUGCCGUUUCUCUGCUUCAGUGUGGCUUGGUCAAGAGCCUUCAGCUGCAAACCCAGGUCAUCUGGGCUUUUCCUAAUAUGGACUGAGCGCCUCUAAGUGCCAAGGGCUGCUCUGCAUGCCAGGGCACCAGCCUGCACCAACAGACCCCAGGACCUCUGGCUUCAUGAGGCUAGUGCGCAAGAACAACAUGAAUCCAAAAAAUAAAUAAAUAAGCAAAAUCCAUAGAGACGGUGAUGAAUGCUCUGGAGAAAAACAGAAAGAGAAAGGGGACAUAAGGACUGGAGUCAAGGUGGAGAAUUCAACUUAAAUAGGGUGCUUCUAGAAGGCCAGAUUUUGUUCAGCCUUUUCUUGCGGAAAAUGUUAAAUAGACGCAAAACUCAACAGACUAGUCUAAUGGACCCCCACCUGCCCUUCAUUCAGCUUCCACAACUGCCAAUCUUGUUUCAUCUGCACCUCCGUCUACUCUCUCCCGCCUUCCAUGUCACUCUGAAGCAAAUGCCAGCCUUCUCCUGUCACGGAGGAUGUGAUUUGAGCAAAGACCAAAGGAGAUGAGGAAGACAGCCACGUGGCCAUUUGGGAGGUGAGCAUUCUAGGCAGAGUGCUGUGCCUGGGAUUCGAAGCUCAGCCCUGCCUCUCCUGGCUGUGUAACCUACAGGAGUCCCCUAACUGCUCUGAACCUCGGUUUUGUCAUCUGUGAAACGAAGCUUGUGCCCUCACCCCACAAGGACCUUGUAGGGAUGGGAUGAGAAUCUCCAUGAGUGUUUUAAAAAAUAGAACAAUGCAAGACUUCCCUGGUGGUCCAGUGGCUAAGACUCUAGGCUCCCAGCACAAGGAGCCCAGGCUCAAUCUCUGCUCAGUCAUGUCUGACUCUUUGAGACCCCAUGGACUGUGGCCCACCAGGCUCCUCUGUCUAUGGGAUUUUUCAGGCAAGAAUACUGGAGUGGGUUGCCAAUCUUCCCCACCCAGAGACUGAACCUGUCUCCUGCAUUGGUAGGCAGAUUCUUCACGCUGAGCCACCUGGGAAGCCCAGAUUGGGGAGGAGCUCUGGGGGUGAUUUCCUGCAGAAGGUUACCCCUGAACUUAGUCUAGCAGGUCACAGUGAUGGGGAGGGAGCUUGGACCCAGAGCUGGGCCGUAUUUGCUGGCCUACCCCUCACCCCUACCCCCAUGGAUGGGCCACAGGACCCCAGGCUGCUGGAAACAAGAAAAGGGCCAAAGGCCCGGAUGGCCAACUGUUCUCUGAGAGGCUUGGCCCCCUUUAAAGAAACUUACCAUCACCUCCACCUCUCUCCCAGGGUGAUUAUCACCCAAAGAGGCCUUUCCUGGGAGGAACACAAAGAGACCCCCCUACUCCCAUCCUCUAGGCAGGAUAAUGGGCCAUUCACACUGAGGGGACCCCAGCCCCACACCUGGCCUCUCAGGCAGCCCCCGACAGCCCCUUUGUCCCAGGCCUGCCCUGCACACGGGUGUCGGUUGUGGUUGUCGGUGGCAGGGACGCCCUAGUCCCCAGCUGGAGCACUCCUGGCCCUCCCCCCACCUCUCCAGCCGCCUGGACUCUGGGCUCCGUCUGGGGGGAACUGGGCUCACCAUUCACCCCACACCGCUCACUAGGAAUUUCACUCCUCUCGAGAGUCCUUACAGAGCUAUGGGAAAAUGGGAGGGAAUAAUUAGGAAAAUCAUUAGCGUCUCAAGGCCCAUCUGAGAGGGAUUAAGGGAUUAAAAGCCUUCCAACCAAUCUCUCCUACUUUAAGGUUGUUGUAGCGGUUUUGUUUUCAGGACUUUUUUUUUUUUUCCUCUCUCUCUCUUCUUUUUUCCUGGGUUGGGGGAAGACUAAAGUCUUGGUGGAUUCUUCCUUCAAAAGCUGCAGGAAAAAGUCAAGACAUUGAAGUCUGAGGGGAGAAGAAUGGGGAAGGGCAGGGAGCAACAUAUACCGCUGUCUCUGAGCAGCGCAGGGUCCAGUGGGGUGCUUGCGAGCGUGCUAAGUCCCUUCAGCCUUCAGUUGUGUCUGGCUCUGCAACGCUGUGGACUACAGCCCACCAAGCACCUCUAGCCAUGGGAUUCUCCAGGAAAGAAUACUGGAGUGGUUUGCCAGGCCCUACUCCAGGGGAUUUGUCCAGUCCAGGGAUUGAACCUGUGUCUCUUAUGUCUCCUGCAUUGGCAGGCAAGUUUUUUUUUUUUUUUUUUUACCGCUAGUGCUACCCGGGGAGCCCCUAGUGAGAGUGAGCAGCCUCAGAGCCAAGCGGGGUCUGCUUGGAUCCUGCCCAGGGA
Bos taurus (domestic cattle) is the source of this 2516-nucleotide long non-coding RNA. Lineage: Eukaryota; Metazoa; Chordata; Mammalia; Artiodactyla; Bovidae. The record is from Ensembl.